Molecule: long non-coding RNA, 1004 nt
Organism: Stegostoma tigrinum
Lineage: Eukaryota; Metazoa; Chordata; Chondrichthyes; Orectolobiformes; Stegostomatidae
Exons: 3
Source: RefSeq, a predicted model, not a curated record
GUCAAAUCACGUAAAAAGGUUUUUAAAAAAGCUGUACGAAAUAUUUAAAUUAAAAAAAGAGAGAUUUGCAAACGGGGGAAGCGUGUCCUUCAGCCUCUUCGACUGGGGCACAACCUUAAACUACUUCAUUCUUGAUUCGCCCGUCUCGAAUACGACACACGAAGCCUCGAACCGGUGAUGACGGACAUUUUUAAGAAAAAUAAGUCAGGCCCGGCCGCUUUUGCAAAGGAUACUUGCUGAACGGAUCUCUGUAUGGCCGUGUCUGGAGACUGCGAUUCCUUCAGUAGCUGCAGAAUUUGCUGGAGUCCUUGCUCAUCGGGUUUCCACUCGUACUCCAUCUUGGUUUGCUGCAAUGAAACAGAGAGAGUCGGGUCAAACACCAAACUGCAAACACAUUCAAACUCACCAUUAGCGACUGCCCUUUACCGCAAUGCAAAAUUGAAACUCAACUUAAUUCCCGACAGACCUGACUGUACUUUACAAAGUAUGCGUUUUCUUUGCCCUCAAUCAAACGUGAUAACAAAUUCUACUGACACUGCACCGCCAGGGCCUAAAACGACAGACUCAUGGCGAAUUUUCAAUCCACUCAGACAACAGAGCUGAAAGCCUGCUCCCUUCCCCGGGUCCUAAUGCGCAGCCGGUCAUACGUCUCACCACAAAUCUGCCAAUCUCCUUCGCUGGGUCCUAAAGACAUAUCAGUCGGCACGGAAUUGAAAAUACUUCAAAAAUCAGUAAAAUUAACUUUAGAAAACUUUGUUAACGCUUCAUAGAAGAACAAAAUCAAUUAUUUAAUAUUACUGCGUGAACAGCAAGGAGGAGGGCAUUGCUGACCAGGCAGCAUUAUGUGCCCAGAGGGCAGUUGAGAGUCAACUACAUUGCUGUCAGUAGGCCAGACCAGUCACAUUAGUGGAAUCUCAGGCUUUACACACUCCAAAGUGUGAUUAUUAAUUGGACGAAUAAAGGCAACCAAUCCAAGUCAACUCCGCCAGUUCAUUAUUGCUAGA